AUAUGGUCAAAUCUAGGGUUUCUUCAUGCCUUUUUUUGCUUUGUAAUUGAAGUGUGAGAGGUCCCAUGGGGAUAUGGUACCUAGAUCUGGACCUUAGCAGGUCUAGAGAGUCCCAAAUGCCAUACUUUAUGUCCUUCCUUUUGGGUUGGAGACUAGGGUUGCCAUCUUAGAGGUCAUUUCUUCAAAAAAGAGCCUUGUAGGUGUUGCAUCGUAGCCAAGACUGUGACUUUACGUGAUGAAUGAGCUUAAGAGGGCCAGAUCUAUGAGUUGAUGGAGCAGAUCUGACCUCAGAAGCGAGAUUGAGUUGAUGCAUGGCAUGGAUUCGCCGAGUCCGAAGAACAAACUCGGCGAGUAGCAUGAAGAUUGUCCUUAACCACUCAACGAGUGUUCUUGAGACUCGGCGAGUUGAGUCAUGGUGGCCCCGCGAUUCAUGCCAGGUGGAACUCGUCGAGUCAGGGGAGUACUCGACGUGUCAAGAGAGGAUCCUAGGGAGUCAGUGAACACGUAUAGACUCGCCGAGUCGCCCUAGUGCACUCGCCGAGUCCGGUCAAAGUUGACCGUUGACUGUUGACCAGUGUUGACUUGAUAGGGGUAGUCAACCUUAGUGGUAAAAGUGUUAAUUAGAGAUAUAUGAUGUUAUAGGAGGAUUAUAGCUCGGAGGAUCGAGCACGAGUGAUUUCCAGGAUUCACGAGUUAUCGAGAUAUACGAGGUGAGUCUUCUCACUAUACUUUACCUUGAGUAGGUAAUCAGAGUUAUGUGANNNNNNNNNNNNNNNNNNNNNNNNNNNNNNNNNNNNNNNNNNNNNNNNNNNNNNNNNNNNNNNNNNNNNNNNNNNNNNNNNNNNNNNNNNNNNNNNNNNNNNNNNNNNNNNNNNNNNNNNNNNNNNNNNNNNNNNNNNAGAGUUAGAACCAGAGGGUUCACAGAGUAGGGUCCACGGACCCACAGAGUUAUAGCCUCGAGUGGCUAAUAUGUGUUAUGUAUGGUAUUUUGGGGAACUCACUAAGCUUCGUGCUUAUAGUGUUAGUGUUAUUUGUUUCUGGUACUAGUGACGACCAUGGGAAGGCGCCGGCUUGAUCUGUACACACGCAUAGCAUUUUUAUGAUAUGUGAUCUUGGGAUUUUGUAUGAUGUGAAUUGGAGUUUUAAACUUGAUGUUUUAUGAAAAUUAAAUGAAAAAUGUUUUUAUAUUAUGCGAAAAAUUAUUUUGAAAUUCACGGUGUUACAAGUUGGUAUCAGAGCCUUGGUUUGAGGGAUUCGAGUACACCUUCGGGCGUAUUUGAACUCAAACUGAGGAUUUGAGAAGUAUUUUCAAAAAGAGUAAAAGAUUUUUGGAAAAACGCAGAGCAGAGUUGUGUGUACGAUCAUUCCGCGCCCGAACGGUGAUUUCCCAAAAUACCCUUAUGUUAUGUGAUAUUGAUACUGAUAUGAUGUAUUCGCAUGCUAGAGUAGGCUAGGUAUUCCUAUUAGGACUAGAGUGGCCUGAUUUGUGAUGCCUUAGCCUAGGAAGAGGUGAGGUGCUAUGAGAUGCUUGAGAGUGAGUAGGUAGCAGCGAGGGGCUUAUGAGAGAUCUAUUAGAGAGUGGCCUAUGCAUGAUAGAGUACUUGGAAUUUGGGAUUCGAAGAGGAGGACUUGGGGUGUAUUCUGAUACGGUGCGGACAGUAGUAUUGGGCCCGUACUACUGAAAGCACCGGAGCGGUGUACGACCCAAGUAAGAAUCUUUGGACUACCAAGGAUCAAGGAGGAAUGAGUUGUCGAGUGUGAGUAUGGUCGAAUGGGUUCUAAUUUAUCGUAUGUUGUAUUUCAGAGGUACAUCAUGGUGAGGACACGUUUGAUGCCUGAGAGCAGUGAUACCAGUGAUGAGGAGAUCCGCCGGAUCAUCCAUGAGGAGGUGGCUGCGGCCAUCAGGGCAGAGAUACCAGAGAUGUUCGGGUCUAUUAAGACCACGCUGAUUGAGACCUUUGACGAGCGUUAUGCCGCUCUUUCUGAGGCUGCUGUUGCAGCGGNGCUAUUGCUGCCGCGAGGCCGCAAGGUGGUGAUGCGUUGCUGUUCCGGGAGUUCAACAACACAAAACCACCUGAGUUUGAUGGGACCUAGGACCUGGUGGCAGCUAUGAGGUGGAUUUCUGACAUAGAGGGGUGUUUCUUCACUUGCUCAUCUCCUAAGCAUUUGAAGGUUCAGUUCGUGCAGAACCAGCUUUGCUUGGGAGCGAUGGACUGGUGGAAGUUUGUGACGGCGCAUUUUACGCCUGCUGAGCUUGCGGCAGUGACCUGGGAGAGGUUCACUGCCAUGUUCCGAGAUGAGUACGUUCCCCAGGUGGAGAGGGAGCGUUUGGCCCAGGAGUUUCUGACCCUCAAGCAGGGUACUGAGUCUGUUACGGUGAUUACCAGGAUGUUCCAUGAGAGGGCGAUGUUCUGCCCUGAGCACGUGUCCACUGAGCAGGCACGUAUGAGCCGAUAUUUGAGUAUUUUGAGGCGAGACAUUCGGGAGUUCGUGGCGAACUCCUCGUACCGGACAUUUGCUGAGCUUCAGGCAAAUGCCCGGAAGAGGGAGAUUGAGCUAGAGACUCAGGCCAGGGAGGAGGCGGAGUCUCAGGGGAGGGAUCGGCGACCGACACAGUCUCAGCCGGCAGCCAAGCGGGCCAAGCCCGUUGAUCCCAAACCAGGGAGUCAAAAGGGCCACACUUGUAGGAAGUGUGGCAAGGGUCAUGAUGGAGUCUGCAGAGCGCGAUCUUGCUACAAGUGUGGCAAGGAGAGGCAUAUGGCCAAGGACUGCCCCAAGGGGUUUGCGGUGUGUUUUCACUGCAAUCAGACCGGACACCGGAAGGCAGAGUGUCCGCAGUUGCGAGGAUCAUCUCAGGGAGCACCUCAGGGAUCUGCCCCUGCCGCCAUCAGAGCUACAGAGAGUCGGCCAGUGAAGGCCGAGGCGCCGAGGGCACGAGGGAGAGCUUUUCAGCUGACCGCGGAGGAGGUCCGCGCAGCGCCCGAUGUCGUGGCUGGUAUGUAUUCUUUCAUGUAUUUAUUUUGAUGUUGAGAUAUUAUGCUUAUGUUAUGUUAUGCGUAGGUACUUUUCUUGUGAAUUCUGUACCUGCCUUGGUGUUAUUUGACUCGGGUGCGAGUCGGUCUUUUGUAUCUUUGGCUUUUAUUCAGCAUAUAAGUGCUAGUCGUGAGGCGUUGAGUUGGCCUCUGAGAGUUUCCAUAGCUGAUGAGAGGGUGAUAUAUGCCACGGAGGUUCUCCGAGGGUGCGUAGUCGAGAUUUUCGGUGUUGAGUUCCCGAUUGAUCUGGUUCCUAUUGCGAUGGGUGAUGUCUGUGUCAUUGUGGGCAUGGACUGGUUGAGCAGAUUCGGUGCGUUUAUCGACUGCGAGCGUCAGUUGGUGACCAUACGAGACCCGAGUGGGGGAGUUCUUUCGGUAUACGGCGAGGGUACACGUUCAGGAUCAACAUUUUGUUCCGCCACUAGGGCAAGGCAGUGUCUACAGCAGGGCUGUAAGGGUUUUGUGGCGUAUGUGAUGGAUAGCGGGUGGAUUCCGAGAGGCCGAGUUCAGUAGAGGAGGUUACGGUGGUGCGUGAGUUCCCGGAUGUAUUUCCCGAGGAGUUGCCGGGUGUGCCUCCUGUGAGGCAAGUGGAGUUCAGUAUCGAUUUGGUUCCGGGGGCCGCGCCUAUCGCUAAGGUGCCUUAUCGCCUUGCACCUCCAGAGAUGCAAGAGUUAUCCUCGCAGCUUCAGGAGCUGCUGGGGAAGGGGUUUAUUCGGCCGAGCAGCUCGCCGUGGGGAGCGCCUAUCCUGUUCGUCAAGAAGAAGGAUGGUUCACACCGGAUGUGCAUUGAUUACCGGGAGUUGAACAAGCUGACGGUCAAGAACCGUUACCCGUUGCCGAGGAUCGACGAUUUGUUCGAUCAGUUGCAGGGAGCAUCUUGGUUCUCCAAGAUCGAUUUGAGGUCUGGAUAUCAUCAGGUGAGGGUGCGAGAUGAGGACGUCCAGAAGACAGCGUUCAGGACGCGUUAUGGGCAUUACGAGUUUGUGGUGAUGCCUUUCGGGCUCACCAAUUCCCCGGCGGUGUUCAUGGAUCUCAUGAACCGAGUGUGUAGGCCGAUGCUGGAUCGGUCGGUGAUUGUAUUUAUCGACGACAUUCUGGUAUAUUCGAGAUCUAGAGAGCAGCAUGAGGAGCAUUUGAGAGAGGUUCUCGGAGUUCUGAGAUCGGAGAGGCUUUAUGCCAAAUUCUCCAAGUGUGAUUUCUGGUUGCGGGAGGUCCAGUUCUUAGGACAUCUCGUUAACCAGGAAGGGAUAUUGGUCGAUCCGGCCAAGGUUGAGGCGGUGAUGAGUUGGGAGGUGCCGAAGUCACCCUCCGAGAUCAGGAGUUUCCUAGGGUUGGCAGGGUAUUAUCGGAGGUUUAUCAAGGAUUUCUCCAAGAUCGCAGUGCCACUCACCAGAUUGACCCGGAAGGGUGUUGCUUUUUCAUGGGGCCCCGAGCAGCAGGCCUCCUUUGAGACACUUCGCCAAAGGUUGUGCGAAGCCCCGGUGUUAGCCCUCCCGGAAGGGAUGGAGGACUUUGUGGUAUACUGUGAUGCAUCGAUUUUGGGGUUGGGAGCGGUGCUGAUGCAGAGAGGGCAUGUGAUAGCAUAUGCAUCGAGGCAGCUGAAGCCUCAUGAGACGAGAUAUCCCACCCAUGAUCUAGAGUUGGGGGCAGUGGUGUUCGCCCUCAAGAUUUGGCGUCACUACUUGUAUGGGGUUCGGUGUACGAUAUACACGGACCAUAAGAGUUUGAAGUAUUUGAUGGAUCAGCCCAACCUAAAUAUGCGUCAGAGAAGGUGGUUGGAUGUGGUCAAGGAUUAUGAUUGUGAGAUCCUGUACCACCCAGGCAAGGCUAAUGUGGUAGCCGAUGCAUUGAGCCGCAGGGCGGAGAGCACCCCGCUGCGGGAUGUAUGUUUGAGAUUGACCGUGAUAGCUCCAGUGUUGGACGCCAUUCGUGGGGCACAGGCCGAGGCUGUGCAACCUGAGAUGCAGAAGAGGGAACGGGUUGUUGGUUUGGUUUCAGAGUUCGUUACCGAUGGUCGGGGGCUUAUGACAUUUCAGGGGCGUAUCUGGGUGCCGUUUGUGGGAGGAACGCGUACCACUUUGAUGGAGGAGGCUCAUCGGUCGAAAUUUUCGAUCCAUCCGGGGGCCACUAAGAUGUAUUUGGAUUUGAGAAAGGAGUAUUGGUGGCCCUGUAUGAAGAGGGACGUCGCAUGGUUUGUUGAGAGGUGCUUGACCUGCCGUAGGGUUAAGGCCGAGCACCAGAGGCCGCAUGGUAAGUUGCAGCCAUUGGAGGUACCCGAAUGGAAGGGGGAACAGAUCACUAUGGAUUUCAUCACCAAAUUGCCAAGGACUGCCAGGGGAGUGGAUGCAAUUUGAGUGAUUAUGGACAGGUUGACGAAGAGCGCUCAUUUCCUUUCUAUCAGCGAGAGUUCUUCAGUAGAGAAAUUGCCGGAGGUGUAUGUGAGGGAAGUGAUAUCUCGGCAUGGGGUGCCGAUCUCGAUUGUUUCAGACCGUGAUGUGCGUUUCACUUCCAGAUUCUGGAAGAAAUUUCAUGAGGAGUUGGGUACUAGACUGCAUUUUAGUACCGCAUAUCAUCCCCAGACAGACGGUCAGAGUGAGCGGACGAUUCAGACGCUUGAGGACAUGCUCCGAGCAUGUGUGUUGGAUUUCGGGGGUAGCUGGGAUGCAUAUUUACCCUUGGUAGAGUUUUCCUACAACAACAGCCAUCAUUCGAGCAUUGGUAUGCCACCCUUUGAGCUGUUGUAUGGGAGGAGGUGUCGGACUCGCAUUUGUUGGGGAGAGGUUGGACAGAGGGUGAUGGGCAGUAUAAAGAUCGUGCUUCAGACAACAGAGCAGAUCCAGCAGGUCAGACAGAGGUUGUUGGCUGCUCAAAGCCGAAAGAAGAGUUAUGCAGACGGACGCCGGUCCGAGCCUGAGUUUCAGGUCGGCGACCUUGUGCUCCUGAAGGUCUCUCCUUGGAAAGGAGUGAUUCGAUUCAGGAAGAGGGGCAAGUUGGGGCCCCGAUAUAUUGGUCCUUUCCGUGUGAUCGCGAGGGUAGGCCGGGUAGCCUAUCGUUUGGAUUUGCCAGCAGAGUUGGGGCAGAUUCACGACACUUUUCAUGUGUCACAGCUGAGGAAGUGUAUAGCCGACGAGUCGGCAGUGGUUCCAUUAGAGGAUAUUCAGGUGGAUGCGAGCCUGAAUUAUGCCGAGAGACCAGUGGCCAUCAGAGAUCGGAAAAUCAAGGUUUUGAGGAACAAGGAGGUACCCCUGGUGUUGGUUCAGUGGCAACAUCGGAAGGGAUCAGAGAUGACCUGGGAGCCGGAGCGUGAGAUGCGUGAGCAGCAUCCGGAGCUAUUUGCAGAGCGAGACUUCGAGGGCGAAGUCUAGUUCUAGUGGGGGAGAAUUGUAACAGCCCAGAUUUCUAGGUAUCUUUUAUUCAUAUAUUUUUGGUGUUUUUGUGAGGGGACUUGGCGAGUUGGAGCUCAAACUCGCCGAGUAGGAUCGCGGUUCUGGACGCAGGUCCGCGCCUGGACUCGGCGAGUCCGCGCUAUUUAAUGAAUCCCUAAUUUCCCGGUCCUAAGCCCUAUUUAAAGGACCUUAUGGCCCUUCAUUGCGGCUAUCUUGACCUUGAGAGCACCAAAGCAGCUGAGGGUUCUUGUGAGUGAGAUAAGAGGCCAUUAUUCACAAAAUUUGUGUGUAUUUGCAAGAAAGGAAGGGGAAAGUCAAGCUAGAAGAGUUGGCGUGCUUGGAUCUACUUCCAUUUCGUCAGGGGAAGCUUCUUGAGGUAUCUUUCAGAGCUUAUUUCCGUGUUUUUGUUGAUAUGGUCAAAUCUAGGGUUUCUUCAUGCCUUGUUUGCUUUGUAAUUGAAGUGUGAGAGGUCCCAAUGGGAUAUGGUACCUAGAUCUGGACCUUAGUAGGUCCAGAGAGUCCCAAAUUCCAUGCUUUAUGUCCUUCCUUUUGGGUUGGAGACUAGGGUUGCCAUCUUAGAGGUCAUUUCUUCAAAAAGAGCCUUAUAGGUGUUGCAUGGUAGCUAAGACUGUGACUUUACAUGAUGAAUGAGCUUAGGAGGGCCAGAUCUAUGAGUUGAUGGAGCGGAUCUGACCUCAGAAGUGAGAUUGAGUUGAUGCAUGGCAUGGACUCGCUGAGUCCGAAGAACAGACUCAGUGAGUAGCAUGAAGAUUGUCCUUAACCACUCAGCAAGUGGUCCUGUCGAGUUAUGGGUUGACUCGGUGAGUCAGGGAGAGUUAGAGACGGUUGACAGGUGGACUGAGUCGAGCUGGAACUCGCCGAGUUGUUCUUGAGACUCGGCGAGUUGAGUCGUGGUGGCCCCGCGAUUCAUGCCAGGUGGAACUCGUCGAGUCAGGGGAGUACUCGACGUGUCAANNNNNNNNNNNNNNNNNNNNNNNNNNNNNNNNNNNNNNGAGUCCGGUCAAAGUUGACCGUUGACUGUUGACCAGAGUUGACCAGUGUUGACUUGAUAGGGGUAGUCAACCUUAGUGGUAAAAGUGUUAAUUAGAGAUAUAUGAUGUUAUAGGAGGAUUAUAGCUCGGAGGAUCGAGCACGAGUGAUUUCCAGGAUUCGCGAGUUAU
Molecule: long non-coding RNA, 7599 nt
Filed under: Lactuca sativa (garden lettuce)
Lineage: Eukaryota; Viridiplantae; Streptophyta; Magnoliopsida; Asterales; Asteraceae
Description: long non-coding RNA (LSAT_LNC003115)
Source: RNAcentral